This 1436-nucleotide ribosomal RNA is filed under the name uncultured organism. RNAcentral describes it as "16S ribosomal RNA". It matches the Rfam family "Bacterial small subunit ribosomal RNA". The record is from RNAcentral.
GACGAACGCUGGCGGCGUGCUUAACACAUGCAAGUCGAACGGAAAGGCCCUGCUUUUGUGGGGUGCUCGAGUGGCGAACGGGUGAGUAACACGUGAGUAACCUGCCCUUGACUUUGGGAUAACUUCAGGAAACUGGGGCUAAUACCGGAUAGGAGCUCCUGCUGCAUGGUGGGGGUUGGAAAGUUUCGGCGGUUGGGGAUGGACUCGCGGCUUAUCAGCUUGUUGGUGGGGUAGUGGCUUACCAAGGCUUUGACGGGUAGCCGGCCUGAGAGGGUGACCGGCCACAUUGGGACUGAGAUACGGCCCAGACUCCUACGGGAGGCAGCAGUGGGGAAUAUUGCACAAUGGGCGGAAGCCUGAUGCAGCAACGCCGCGUGCGGGAUGACGGCCUUCGGGUUGUAAACCGCUUUCGCCUGUGACGAAGCGUGAGUGACGGUAAUGGGUAAAGAAGCACCGGCUAACUACGUGCCAGCAGCCGCGGUGAUACGUAGGGUGCGAGCGUUGUCCGGAUUUAUUGGGCGUAAAGGGCUCGUAGGUGGUUGAUCGCGUCGGAAGUGUAAUCUUGGGGCUUAACCCUGAGCGUGCUUUCGAUACGGGUUGACUUGAGGAAGGUAGGGGAGAAUGGAAUUCCUGGUGGAGCGGUGGAAUGCGCAGAUAUCAGGAGGAACACCAGUGGCGAAGGCGGUUCUCUGGGCCUUUCCUGACGCUGAGGAGCGAAAGCGUGGGGAGCGAACAGGCUUAGAUACCCUGGUAGUCCACGCUGUAAACGGUGGGUACUAGGUGUGGGGUCCAUUCCACGGGUUCCGUGCCGUAGCUAACGCUUUAAGUACCCCGCCUGGGGAGUACGGCCGCAAGGCUAAAACUCAAAGGAAUUGACGGGGCCCCGCACAAGCGGCGGAGCAUGCGGAUUAAUUCGAUGCAACGCGUAGAACCUUACCUGGGUUUGACAUGGAUCGGGAGUGCUCAGAGAUGGGUGUGCCUCUUUUGGGGUCGGUUCACAGGUGGUGCAUGGCUGUCGUCAGCUCGUGUCGUGAGAUGUUGGGUUAAGUCCCGCAACGAGCGCAACCCUUGUUCACUGUUGCCAGCACGUUAUGGUGGGGACUCAGUGGAGACCGCCGGGGUCAACUCGGAGGAAGGUGGGGAUGACGUCAAGUCAUCAUGCCCCUUAUGUCCAGGGCUUCACGCAUGCUACAAUGGCUGGUACAGAGAGUGGCGAGCCUGUGAGGGUGAGCGAAUCUCGGAAAGCCGGUCUCAGUUCGGAUUGGGGUCUGCAACUCGACCUCAUGAAGUCGGAGUCGCUAGUAAUCGCAGAUCAGCAACGCUGCGGUGAAUACGUUCCCGGGGCUUGUACACACCGCCCGUCAAGUCAUGAAAGUUGGUAACACCCGAAGCCGGUGGCCUAACCGUUGUGGGGGAGCCGUCGAAGGUGGGACUGG